RNAcentral lists this ribosomal RNA (253 nucleotides) under uncultured bacterium. Its description in RNAcentral is "partial 16S ribosomal RNA". It matches the Rfam family "Bacterial small subunit ribosomal RNA", at positions 524 to 776 of the family's 1533-position model. The record is from RNAcentral.
UACGAAGGGGGCUAGCGUUGUUCGGAAUUACUGGGCGUAAAGCGCACGUAGGCGGGUUUGUAAGUAGGGGGUGAAAUCCCAGAGCUCAACUCCAGAACUGCCUUUGAUACUGGCGAUCUUGAGUCCGGGAGAGGUGAGUGGAACUGCGAGUGUAGAGGUGAAAUUCGUAGAUAUCGAGAGGAACACCGGUGGCGAAGGCGGCCUUCUGGACAGUGACUGACGCUGAGACGCGAAAGCGUGGGGAGCAAACAGG